UGUGUCCCCCCCGUCCCUCCUCCCGUGCCGGGGAUGGAGCCGCAGGGCACGGCCGCCGGCCCCCGUGGUGACAUCGAUCCGGCAGAGCGUGCACGAAGUCAAACAGGGACAAAGCUCCGUUUAUAAAGGAGGACGUCAGCAUGAGGAAACAAAAGCUGCUGACGGCCACGGGAUGCCUUGGAGGAGCAGGAGCCCCGGAGAGCCAGCAGCCAGAGGGUUAAGGCGUGCACAGUGAGCAGGGGUGGCAGCAGGAGGGAUGCCCGGUGGGGUCCUGGCCCCUCUGCCCAAGCAGCACGGGCGCAGGUGAGGGUGCUGAGCCCUGAGGUGCUGUCCUGUCCCUGCUG
This is a long non-coding RNA of Oxyura jamaicensis (ruddy duck), 344 nucleotides long. RefSeq lists it as uncharacterized. The record is from RefSeq and is a predicted model, not a curated record. Lineage: Eukaryota; Metazoa; Chordata; Aves; Anseriformes; Anatidae. The transcript is spliced from 3 exons.